UGAUUGAUGAUGAUGGUACCAGACAGGGGA
Molecule: non-coding RNA, 30 nt
Filed under: Mus musculus (house mouse)
Lineage: Eukaryota; Metazoa; Chordata; Mammalia; Rodentia; Muridae
Source: RNAcentral